This is a long non-coding RNA of Lontra canadensis (Northern American river otter), 1151 nucleotides long. RefSeq lists it as uncharacterized. The transcript is spliced from 3 exons. NCBI's taxonomy places the organism in Eukaryota, Metazoa, Chordata, Mammalia, Carnivora, Mustelidae. The record is from RefSeq and is a predicted model, not a curated record.
CUGAGCACCCCGGGCGCCGCGGGACCCAGAAUUCCCGGGGACGUGGAAGAGACCAUAGGCUCUAAUGAAGGGGGGUGUCCCCGGGUGGUGAGGCGGAGUCUGCAUCGUGAAAUGGGCUGGACGUUCCCGUGAGUCUCUGCCAGUAUUACCCUCCCUUCUGUGAAGAAUGGAAUAUUCCGACUCCUUAAAGGCCCAGGCCGCAAAAGAGGCCAUCUUUUCCGUACCGUGAAAAUGGAGCAGAGCCGCUGCCGCCGUGGACUCCGGAGCCCGAGGUCCCCGAAGGCCGGUUCCCUGCUCCCCGGACGCGGCGUGGGAGGUGCGCCAACCCGGGAGGACUGGGUAAGCGCGGCCCGGGGGAGCGUGGCGCAUGGGACGUCGAGGAGGGCUUGCCCGACGGUGCUGAUGAUCCUGGGGUUAGGAAGUGCCGUCAGAAGCGAUAAUUGACGACUCUGAUGCCUGCCUGACCGCGGUCGCGGAAGCCUCAACGGUCGGGUUGAACAGCACUGCCACUACGUGCCCUUAACGCCUGUCGCCCUCCCGUGUUCCAGGUGGCACAUGCCUUGCAGUGCCUUGAGGCCAGGAGCGGUCUCCCACCCGGAGGUUGCACAUGAGUGCUGCGGGGUCACCAGUGUGUGAUCAGAUCGAGACCAGCUGCUGAGUGUUAGAGGGAGGAGCACUGGCCUGCCGUUAAGGUAAGCUUCGGUCUGUGGAACAGCUUGCAUGGCCGGCUGUUAGAUGAUGUGACCUUCCGGUUAGGUCAGGUAGUGGCACUUUUAGCCGGCUAACCUAAUAACCUUGUAUUACUGUAGCCCUUGACCUUCAUUGAGCGUAUCUUGGAGAUACAGAUACGGUUCAUGGUGGCAGUGGAGCAGAGGGCAGAGGAAACCCGGGAGUUUGUUAGCUCACUGCUCUAAAAUGCUGUCCCAGUUGCCUGUCUGCUGAGAUGUAGCUUUCCUCGUCCUUGGAGAUGACCGCGCAGGUGUGUGGGGUUAAAAUGAUGGGAUGAAAUAAGGUUGCAUCACCCAGAAAAGCCAGUUAGGACUUACAGACUUCACAUGGCUUCAUGAACGAAAAAAACACCUCCAGUAGGUUCUUAAGGGCUGCCAUUAGGAUGGGCUGGAUUUGUAGUUGAGGCUCUCAUGAGCAAGACU